UCGUUUGCCAUGAGACAUCGGCCAGUCGAUUCACCACAUGAGCUGUUCGCUUUUUGAGGUGUGCUUUCAUACAUUUCCUCAAGCUUAUCCCACAUUUCUUUGGCAGAUUUGUAGUGGGAAAUUUUCUGAUAAUCUUCCUGAUUCAAGCCGAUAUACAACAUAUUUAUUGCCUUAGUGUUGUAUUCACUUACCUUGGCUUUCCUAACUUUUGUCGUCAUCUGUUCACCAUGCUUGACGAUUUGCC
This 244-nucleotide long non-coding RNA is filed under the name Nicotiana benthamiana. RNAcentral's name for it is "long non-coding RNA (NBEN_LNC013233)". The record is from RNAcentral. Lineage: Eukaryota; Viridiplantae; Streptophyta; Magnoliopsida; Solanales; Solanaceae.